CGUUUAAAGAGUGCGUAACAGCUCACCAGUCGAGCACGAAGGUGCCGAAAAUAAUCGGGGCUUAAGCGUUAUACCGAAGCUUUGGCUGCUAUCACACCUGCGGGUGUGGUGGCGGGGUAGGGGAGCGUUGUAUGCGGAGCGAAGGUACACGGCAACGAGUACUGGACUGCAUACAAGUGAUUAUGCAGGAAUGAGUAACGAUCAAAAAGGUGAGAAUCCUUUUCGCCGUAAACCUAAGGUUUCCUCCGCUAGGUAAGUCCGCGGAGGGUUAGGCGGGACCUAAGACGAGGCCGAUAGGCGUAGUCGAUGGACAGCCGGUUCAUAUUCCGGCCCCUCUCAUGGGGUGCCCACGGAGAACACAGGAGACUAACACGGAGGGAUGCCAAGUAAGCCCUCGGCGUGAUGGUGAUUGCUGCAUUGAAAGAUGCGGUGCGUUCGCCAUUACGAUCAAACGCCUUGAGCGAUAUGAGCGUGUGAUGUCACCCUGUCGAGAAAAGCCCGUCGGGAGAUAAUGUCAUGAGAGACCGUACUAAAACUGACACAGGUAGGUGAGGAGAGUAUCCUCAGGUGCUCGAGAGAACUCUGGUUAAGGAACUCGGCAAAUUCACUCCGUACGUUCGCAAGAAGGAGUGCCAGCUUUCUUGAAAGGGAAGGCUGGCCGCAGUGAAGAGGCCCAACCGACUGUUUACUAAAAACACAGUUCUGUGCUAACUCGAAAGAGGAUGUAUACGGAAUGAUGCCUGCCCGGUGCUCGAAGGUCACAUGGAGCGGUUAGCGUAAGCGAAGCUGCGAAAUCAAGCCCGAGUAAACGGCGGCCGUAACUAUGACGGUCCUAAGGUAGCGAAAUUCCUUGUCGGGUAAGUUCCGACCUGCAUGAAAGGCAUAACGAGUUGGGCACUGUCUCAACCAGAGACUCGGUGAAAUUGCAAUAUGGGCGAAGAUACCCAUUACCCGCAGCAGGACGAAAAGACCCCGUGAACCUUUACUGCAGCUUGAUACUGUGUUUCUGUGACGCAUGCGUAGGAUAGGUGGGACGCUUUGAUUUCCUGGUUCCGGCUAGGGAUGAGCGGUCGGUGAAAUACCACUCUUGCGUUAUGGGAAUUCUAACCUGGCCUUUGUACGGCUGGGAACACUGUCAGGCGGGCAGUUUGGCUGGGGCGGCUUCCUCCCAAAGAGUAACGGAGGAGCACAAAGGUCAGCUCAGUACGGUUGGCAAUCGUACGUGGAGUGCAAGAGCAUAAGCUGGCUUAACUGCGAGACCCAUAAGUCGAGCAGACGCGAAAGCGGGUUCUAGUGAUCCGGUGGUUCCAGAUGGACGGGCCAUCGCUCAACAGAUAAAAGGUACUCCGGGGAUAACAGGCUGAUUUCGCCCAAGAGUCCCUAUCGACGGCGAAGUUUGGCACCUCGAUGUCGGCUCAUCUCAUCCUGGGGCUGGAGAAGGUCCCAAGGGUAUGGCUGUUCGCCAUUUAAAGAGGUACGCGAGCUGGGUUUAAACCGUCGUGAGACAGGUUGGUCUCUAUCCGCUGUGGGCGCUGGACGAUUGAAGAGACUUAACAUUAGUACGAGAGGAUUAUGUUGAACACCGCUCUGGUGUACCGGUUGUCACGCUCGUGGCAGUGCCGGGUAGCUACCGGUGGACGGGAUAAACGCUGAAAGCAUCUAAGCGUGAAGCCCACUCCAAGAUGAAUCGUCCCUACGAAUGCCGUUGAAGACUACAACGUUGAUAGGUUGGGGGUGUAAGUGCGUAUAUCCAAAGGCACUAAGCUGACCAAUACUAAUCGCAUCAUUGGCUUGAUC
Molecule: ribosomal RNA, 1797 nt
Filed under: metagenomes
Description: bacterial LSU rRNA
Rfam family: Bacterial large subunit ribosomal RNA
Source: RNAcentral